RNAcentral lists this ribosomal RNA (640 nucleotides) under uncultured bacterium. Its description in RNAcentral is "bacterial SSU rRNA". It matches the Rfam family "Bacterial small subunit ribosomal RNA", at positions 60 to 691 of the family's 1533-position model. The record is from RNAcentral.
AGUCGAACGGCAGCACAGGGAGCUUGCUCCCGGGUGGCGAGUGGCGCACGGGUGAGUAAUACAUCGGAACGUGUCCUGUUGUGGGGGAUAACUGCUCGAAAGGGUGGCUAAUACCGCAUGAGACCUGAGGGUGAAAGCGGGGGAUCGCAAGACCUCGCGCAAUUGGAGCGGCCGAUGCCCGAUUAGCUAGUUGGUGAGGUAAAGGCUCACCAAGGCGACGAUCGGUAGCUGGUCUGAGAGGACGACCAGCCACACUGGGACUGAGACACGGCCCAGACUCCUACGGGAGGCAGCAGUGGGGAAUUUUGGACAAUGGGGGCAACCCUGAUCCAGCCAUGCCGCGUGCAGGAUGAAGGCCUUCGGGUUGUAAACUGCUUUUGUCAGGGACGAAAAGGACCGUGUUAAUACCAUGGUCUGCUGACGGUACCUGAAGAAUAAGCACCGGCUAACUACGUGCCAGCAGCCGCGGUAAUACGUAGGGUGCAAGCGUUAAUCGGAAUUACUGGGCGUAAAGCGUGCGCAGGCGGUUCUGUAAGACAGAUGUGAAAUCCCCGGGCUCAACCUGGGAAUUGCAUUUGUGACUGCAGGACUAGAGUUCAUCAGAGGGGGGUAGAAUUCCAAGUGUAGCAGUGAAAUGCGU